Molecule: long non-coding RNA, 618 nt
Organism: Capsicum annuum
Lineage: Eukaryota; Viridiplantae; Streptophyta; Magnoliopsida; Solanales; Solanaceae
Exons: 2
Source: RefSeq, a predicted model, not a curated record
GCAAGAUGUCCUGCUCAAAAUAAAACAACUUUUUUUCCUUCAUAAAACUAUUUCUUUAACACCCUUUGCCGCCACAAUCUCUUUGCCGCCUUCUAAGUUGGCUCAUCUACCGUUAAAUAUUUAUUUUCAAAUUAAUCUCAGCCGUUGGAUCAUUCCAAAUCCACUAUAAAUUACGAUUUGAUUUCGCUUUUUAUAACCUCUGCUACUUUCAUAUCCAAAUCUGCGGAGAUGGUUAUUAUGGAUGACGGUAAAGUAGUUGAGGUGUGCGCACUUAUGAUAAUAAAAAAGGGGAGUAAUUGCUUUAGCAACCAUCGCGAUGUUGACUUUAAGCAUGGAGGCAUUCCAGAAACAUACCGUCUGCAUGACUAAUAAGAGCUGCGAGGGCUAAUGAAUUGGUCUCCAAUUGUUAUUAAAUCAAACGGAUUGGAUCGUUGAUCUUUUGAUGCUGUUGCAGUUUCAGCUGUGAAGGGUGACAGUACAGUGAGCCUACUGGUGCAUCUAAGGUUAUAUAUAACUGUUUAAUUUAAUGUCUGUAUAUUUGAAUGAAUGAUUAAUGUACAUUUUAUUUUAUUUUAAAAAGAAUUAUGCAUGCAUAUGUAUGAGGUAAUAGAGGAAAAA